Mus musculus (house mouse) is the source of this 1471-nucleotide long non-coding RNA. RefSeq annotates it as predicted gene 15728. NCBI's taxonomy places the organism in Eukaryota, Metazoa, Chordata, Mammalia, Rodentia, Muridae. The record is from RefSeq and is marked validated. The transcript has 2 exons.
AGGUAACCCUAGGCGCCGGCCUGCAGCGGAGUUACCGCCUGAGUCGGCUGUCUCAGCCUCCUCGCACGAGGUCCAGGGUGACCGCGCGCUGAAGCCAGAGCCACCGCGGGCCUCACCAGGGCCCGAUCCUGUCAGUGCAGGGGCAAGCCGCAAGGAGCAGCAAGACGUCCUGGGAAUCGAACUUAGCUGUCAAGCUUGGCCGUUUGAAUCGCAAGAUCAUCCUUGACUGCAUAUCCAGCUCAUGGCCAGCCUGGUGGUGUACUUAACUACCUUUGGAGUCAAGCAGCUGCCAUCUGGGGGAGUUCAGCUGUGUCCACUUACAAAAGAAUUACCUUAGCUGGACUUUUUGACCGUUUACAUCCCCUCACGGAAGACCCUCACCUGAGUAUCCACUGGCUCCCUAUAAUUUAUUGUGUGCAACUCUGCCUUAAUUGCACAUGGCUUGCCUGGAGGGCAGGGGUGGGGGGAGGAGACUAGAGUACUCAGAUUAAGAAAGACUAGGAGAGAGGUCUUUAUCUAAGCAGCUAUGGGAAAACCCUUACCCUGUUGGCCAAAUCUUUUUUUUUUUUUUUUUCUCUAGGCUGGCCUCGAACUCAGAGAUCUGCCUGCCUCUGCCUCCCAAGUGCUGGGAUCAAAGGCGUGUGCCACCACUGCCCAGCUGCUGUCCACUGGCCAAAUCUUUUCUGGUACCAUCCCAUCUCUGGAGGAAGGAGAACCCACUCUCCUGUAGGUACUCCUCACCUAUGCUCUGUAAGGAAGCCCAAUAAAUUCAUUGGUUCCCCCAAAUGAAGUAUGGCAGUAGACUCAUGCCCCGGUUUGUCACUGGAAUCUUAGGUGGAGGGGUAGACAUCAUUUAUGCCCCCUCCCAUGGAAUGCUAUCAGCACACAAGGGAUUUUUAUCAACACUGCAAUAAAGGAGACCCUGUCUCAAUCAAAACAGAACACAUCACAGAAGAAGGAGAUCAGAUGGCACUCCAAGGAUGACAGUACCCCGCCUCUCUGCUUCCUCUGUAGGCCAACUUGAGUGAAUACUGGUUCUUUAGAUCACUAACAUGCCAUGCUCCUGACUUGGCUCAGGGGUGAUUUUGAUGAUAACUUCUCUCUGUGGCAAGCACAGGAUACAGUGCCACAGUGCACUACACUGAUAACAGGGAUGGCUGUGAGGGAUCAACACAGCCACAUAGCUAACACAUUGGGGACAUGCCACACUCCCUCCCUCCUGCCACUCUCUGCUCACCUUUUCUUUCUCUCAUAUAUAUAUAUUUUUUCCAUCUCAAACAAAACUUUGGGCUGGAGAGAUGGCUCAGAGCAUAAGAGCACUGUCUGCUGUUCCAGAGGCCCUGAGUUCAAUUCCCAGCAACCACAUGGUGGCUCACAACCAUCUGGAAUAGGAGCUGGUGCCCCCUUCUGACAUGUAGGUAUACAUGCAGGCGGAACACUGUACACAUAAUAAAUAAAUCUUUUUAAAAAA